Molecule: ribosomal RNA, 500 nt
Filed under: uncultured bacterium
Lineage: Bacteria
Description: bacterial SSU rRNA
Rfam family: Bacterial small subunit ribosomal RNA
Source: RNAcentral
GGCUCAGAUUGAACGCUGGCGGCAUGCCUUACACAUGCAAGUCGAACGGCAGCACGGGUGCUUGCACCUGGUGGCGAGUGGCGAACGGGUGAGUAAUACAUCGGAACGUACCUUAUCGUGGGGGAUAACGCAGCGAAAGCUGUGCUAAUACCGCAUACGAUCUACGGAUGAAAGCGGGGGACCGUAAGGCCUCGCGCGAUUGGAGCGGCCGAUAUCAGAUUAGGUAGUUGGUGGGGUAAAGGCUCACCAAGCCAACGAUCUGUAGCUGGUCUGAGAGGACGACCAGCCACACUGGAACUGAGACACGGUCCAGACUCCUACGGGAGGCAGCAGGUGGGGAAUUUUGGACAAUGGACGCAAGUCUGAUCCAGCCAUUCCGCGUGCAGGAUGAAGGCCCCGUCGGGGUUAGUAAACUGUCUUUUGUACGGAAACGAAAAGGUCUCUCUUAAUACGGGGGGCUCAUGACGGUACCGUAAGAAUAAGCACCGGCUAACUACGUG